UACGUAGGGCGCAAGCGUUGUCCGGAAUUAUUGGGCGUAAAGAGCUCGUAGGCGGUUUGUCGCGUCUGCUGUGAAAACCUAAGGCUCAACCUUGGGCUUGCAGUGGGUACGGGCAGACUAGAGUGCGGUAGGGGAGUGGGGAAUUCCUGGUGUAGCGGUGAAAUGCGCAGAUAUCAGGAGGAACACCGGUGGCGAAGGCGCCACUCUGGGCCGGUACUGACGCUGAGGAGCGAAAGCGUGGGUAGCAAACAGG
Molecule: ribosomal RNA, 253 nt
Filed under: uncultured bacterium
Lineage: Bacteria
Description: partial 16S ribosomal RNA
Rfam family: Bacterial small subunit ribosomal RNA
Source: RNAcentral